This 1119-nucleotide ribosomal RNA is filed under the name Escherichia coli. Its description in RNAcentral is "partial 23S ribosomal RNA". It matches the Rfam family "Bacterial large subunit ribosomal RNA", at positions 30 to 1191 of the family's 2925-position model. The record is from RNAcentral. Lineage: Bacteria; Pseudomonadati; Pseudomonadota; Gammaproteobacteria; Enterobacterales; Enterobacteriaceae.
GCCCUGGCAGUCAGAGGCGAUGAAGGACGUGCUAAUCUGCGAUAAGCGUCGGUAAGGUGAUAUGAACCGUUAUAACCGGCGAUUUCCGAAUGGGGAAACCCAGUGUGAUUCGUCACACUAUCAUUAACUGAAUCCAUAGGUUAAUGAGGCGAACCGGGGGAACUGAAACAUCUAAGUACCCCGAGGAAAAGAAAUCAACCGAGAUUCCCCCAGUAGCGGCGAGCGAACGGGGAGCAGCCCAGAGCCUGAAUCAGUGUGUGUGUUAGUGGAAGCGUCUGGAAAGGCGCGCGAUACAGGGUGACAGCCCCGUACACAAAAAUGCACAUACUGUGAGCUCGAUGAGUAGGGCGGGACACGUGGUAUCCUGUCUGAAUAUGGGGGGACCAUCCUCCAAGGCUAAAUACUCCUGACUGACCGAUAGUGAACCAGUACCGUGAGGGAAAGGCGAAAAGAACCCCGGCGAGGGGAGUGAAAAAGAACCUGAAACCGUGUACGUACAAGCAGUGGGAGCCUCUUUAUGGGGUGACUGCGUACCUUUUGUAUAAUGGGUCAGCGACUUAUAUUCUGUAGCAAGGUUAACCGAAUAGGGGAGCCGAAGGGAAACCGAGUCUUAACUGGGCGUUAAGUUGCAGGGUAUAGACCCGAAACCCGGUGAUCUAGCCAUGGGCAGGUUGAAGGUUGGGUAACACUAACUGGAGGACCGAACCGACUAAUGUUGAAAAAUUAGCGGAUGACUUGUGGCUGGGGGUGAAAGGCCAAUCAAACCGGGAGAUAGCUGGUUCUCCCCGAAAGCUAUUUAGGUAGCGCCUCGUGAAUUCAUCUCCGGGGGUAGAGCACUGUUUCGGCAAGGGGGUCAUCCCGACUUACCAACCCGAUGCAAACUGCGAAUACCGGAGAAUGUUAUCACGGGAGACACACGGCGGGUGCUAACGUCCGUCGUGAAGAGGGAAACAACCCAGACCGCCAGCUAAGGUCCCAAAGUCAUGGUUAAGUGGGAAACGAUGUGGGAAGGCCCAGACAGCCAGGAUGUUGGCUUAGAAGCAGCCAUCAUUUAAAGAAAGCGUAAUAGCUCACUGGUCGAGUCGGCCUGCGCGGAAGAUGUAACGGGGCUAAACCAUG